Molecule: long non-coding RNA, 1752 nt
Organism: Numida meleagris (helmeted guineafowl)
Lineage: Eukaryota; Metazoa; Chordata; Aves; Galliformes; Numididae
Exons: 3
Source: RefSeq, a predicted model, not a curated record
GGGCGGUGCCGAAAGGGCGGGAAGCGGGCCGGGGGGGGUGCCCGUACGUCCAGGCCCUCAGCGCCCCUCACGAUGUGCGUUGUCCCGCCCGCUCGUCGAGGCCCUCGGAGUGGUACUUGGGCCUGGUGUUGUGUGGUGCCUCCUUACGGUGUCACUGAGAUGCGCUGGCAGUCAGUGGGUACCUGUGUGCCCGACGGCAGCUGUCCAAGGACCAGCAAUACGUCACAGUUCAUACAAGCGUGUUGCAAGCAGAGCGCACCCAGAGGCAGGUAGGAAAGGUGACUCAUUGUUUCCAGCUCUGCCAUGAUGGUCUUCAAGGUGCGCUCCACAAGUUAAGGUUUCAGAUAAACCCAUCUGAGUUCCCUUUGAGAAAAAAACUUACCUGCAACACUAUCAUCAGUAUUGCCUGAACAGUCUUCUUCGUGUUCCCAUGUAAACAUCAGCUCUGGACAAACCCACAGCCACAAAAUACUACACUACAGGCUUUCAGAAGGAACAGUGGCCUUGUUUCCAGAGCAGCAUGAAGCUUGGACUGCCCACAGACAGUGUGACCCAAGGACAUGCAGCAGUCACGUUCCAGCACUGAAGGAAUUGCCACUGCUGCACCAAGGUAAGCGUGUCCUCGCUGCUGGGCUUAGCCUGGCCAGCAGGCAGCUCUGACCCCAGUUAUCACAUCGCAGACGUACCCUGAAGUGGUGGCAGUUCUGUAAGGUAGGGGAGACCCAUCAUAAAAAGAAAUCUGGAAUGAUUUUGAAAAGCAGGAUUUUCAGUAUAGUCAGAGGGUUUGUACUGGUUUGGAAUCUGGGCCAGCAGAGAUGCCUGCAUUAGAUUAGUACUGCUGAAUGGAAAACCCUCUCAGCUUUGGCAUGCAAGCAGAUCCACUUGUCACAUGCCAGCAGCGCAAUAAAAUAACUUAUAAAGCUCACGGGAAAAGCAGCCUUGAGUUAUCUGGAUGCAAAAGACAGAAUUCAGCACCCGUAGCAACGCACAAAAUCAGAUUCUGUUAUCAACUUGGCCUGGAGCCACUAGCAGAGACAAGCUGCUCUUUCUGUGUGUCAUUUCAGUUGAAGCUUUUUGGAUUUUGGAGUACAAUGCUGGGAUUAUUGGCACACUGGGCUUGGGAAGCAGGGACUCCUUCUCAAAAUUUCCUGUAGCCUUUGCAAUAAAACUAAUCCCUGUGUAUCCUCCAGCUCCCCUUCUUGCAGCACUGCCUAGUGGGGCACACAUGACAGGAUCUCCCCUUUUCUGCCAUCUUACAUUAGUAAUGACCAUUGUCCUAACAACACUUCCCAGGGUGCUGGCUUCCCUCAUUCCCAGGUUACCUUUUUUUUUUUUUCAGUUUUUCAAUUAAGCAAUCACUUCCACUUCUACAAACCGCUGGCUGCAUUCUGCUCACAGUUACUGAUAAGAAUGCAGAAUUAAUUGCUUGCCUCUGGUGCUGGGUGGAAUCUCCAAACUCUUCAUACCCACAAUGAAGAUUUUCAUCAGGCAGAAACAUACUGGCCAUUUAGGGAAGUGAUGAAUGACUUAAAUGAGGCUUUGGAUUGUGAUUCCCUCCUAAGUUGAGGGAGAUAAGCCAAAGAGAGCCCUCCUUCUGAGGCACAGCAUUUUAUCAUAUCACAGAAGCAAGCAGCUAAGAAGACUCCAGCGCUGUGCUUUGACAAUGGGUUAGACUGCCUGUCCUUUUGUGUGACACUGACUAUCAGAUGGGAUCUGGGAUAAAAACAAGUUCUUGAAGAGGUUAUACUUAGU